This 464-nucleotide ribosomal RNA is filed under the name uncultured Desulfuromonadales bacterium. RNAcentral describes it as "partial 16S ribosomal RNA". It matches the Rfam family "Bacterial small subunit ribosomal RNA", at positions 338 to 794 of the family's 1533-position model. The record is from RNAcentral. Lineage: Bacteria; Pseudomonadati; Thermodesulfobacteriota; Desulfuromonadia; Desulfuromonadales.
CCUACGGGCGGCAGCAGUGGGGAAUUUUGCGCAAUGGGCGAAAGCCUGACGCAGCGACGCCGCGUGGAGGAUGAAGGCCUUCGGGUCGUAAAGCUCUGUCAGAGGGGAAGAAAUGCAGGUGGUGAACAACCAUUCUGUUUGACGGUACCCUCAAAGGAAGCACCGGCUAACUCCGUGCCAGCAGCCGCGGUAAUACGGAGGGUGCGAGCGUUGUUCGGAAUUAUUGGGCGUAAAGCGCGUGUAGGCGGUUUUUUAAGUCUGAUGUAAAAGCCCCGGGCUCAAUCUGGGAAGUGCAUUGGAUACUGGCAGACUUGAGUACGGGAGAGGAGAGUGGAAUUCCCAGUGUAGGAGUAAAAUCCGUAGAUAUGGGGAGGAACCCCGGUGGCGAGGGCGGCUCUCUGGACCGAUACUGACGCUGAGACGCGAAAGCGUGGGGAGCAAACAGGAUUAGAUACCCGUGUAGU